Molecule: ribosomal RNA, 674 nt
Filed under: Irpex lacteus
Lineage: Eukaryota; Fungi; Basidiomycota; Agaricomycetes; Polyporales; Irpicaceae
Description: eukaryotic LSU rRNA
Rfam family: 5.8S ribosomal RNA (bases 250-403)
Source: RNAcentral
UCCGUAGGUGAACCUGCGGAAGGAUCAUUAUCGAGUUUUGAACGGGUUGUAGCUGGCCUCUCACGAGGCAUGUGCACGCCUGGCUCAUCCACUCUUAACCUCUGUGCACUUUAUGUAAGAGAAAAAAAUGGUGGAAGCUUCCAGGAUCUCGCGAGAGGUCUUYGGUUGAACAAGCCAUUUUUCUUUCUUAUGUUUUACUACAAACGCUUCAGUUAUAGAAUGUCAACUGUGUAUAACACAUUUAUAUACAACUUUCAGCAACGGAUCUCUUGGCUCUCGCAUCGAUGAAGAACGCAGCGAAAUGCGAUAAGUAAUGUGAAUUGCAGAAUUCAGUGAAUCAUCGAAUCUUUGAACGCACCUUGCACUCCUUGGUAUUCCGAGGAGUAUGCCUGUUUGAGUCUCAUGGUAUUCUCAACCCCUAAAUUUUUGUAAUGAAGGUUUAGCGGGCUUGGACUUGGAGGUUGUGUCGGCCCUUGUCGGUCGACUCCUCUGAAAUGCAUUAGCGUGAAUCUUACGGAUCGCCUUCAGUGUGAUAAUUAUCUGCGCUGUGGCGUUGAAGUAUUUAUGGUGUUCAUGCCUCGAACCGUCUCCUUGCCGAGACAAUCAUUUGACAAUCUGAGCUCAAAAUCACGUAGGACUACCCGCUGAACUUCAGCAUAUCAAUAAGCGGAGGA